CAGUCGCCGCGGUAAUACGAAGGGGGCUAGCGUUGUUCGGAUUAACUGGGCGUAAAGGGCGCGUAGGCGGGUCUUUAAGUCAGGGGUGAAAUCCCAAGGCUCAACCUUGGAACUGCCUUCGAUACUGGAGAUCUUGAGUCCGGGAGAGGUGAGUGGAACUGCGAGUGUAGAGGUGAAAUUCGUAGAUAUUCGCAAGAACACCAGUGGCGAAGGCGGCUCACUGGCCCGGUACUGACGCUGAGGCGCGAAAGCGUGGGGAGCAAACAGGAUUAGAGACCCCAGUAGUCCCUGUCUCUUAUAC
Molecule: ribosomal RNA, 301 nt
Filed under: uncultured bacterium
Lineage: Bacteria
Description: partial 16S ribosomal RNA
Rfam family: Bacterial small subunit ribosomal RNA
Source: RNAcentral